UCGACGGCUAGGGUUUCUGGUCUCCGGGAAUUCUCUGCAGAGCUUCGCUUCAAUUUCUGGGUGAGGCAAAAAGGGAGACUGCAUCUCCUUUUUAUAGGAAAGAGGAAGGGAAAACCCUAGGUCUUUGCCAAAUGGGCCGUAGAGAAGCCCAUAUUCCUAAAGAAAUUUAUGGGCUAGGAACCGGGCCGUUACAAUUCCG
Molecule: long non-coding RNA, 199 nt
Filed under: Brassica rapa (field mustard)
Lineage: Eukaryota; Viridiplantae; Streptophyta; Magnoliopsida; Brassicales; Brassicaceae
Description: long non-coding RNA (BRAP_LNC005981)
Source: RNAcentral